UACGUAGGGUGCGAGCGUUGUCCGGAAUUAUUGGGCGUAAAGAGCUCGUAGGCGGUUUGUUGCGUCGGCUGUGAAAUCCCGAGGCUCAACCUCGGGUCUGCAGUCGAUACGAGCAAACUAGAGUGUUGCAGGGGAGACUGGAAUUCCUGGUGUAGCGGUGAAAUGCGCAGAUAUCAGGAGGAACACCGGUGGCGAAGGCGGGUCUCUGGGCAACAACUGACGCUGAGGAGCGAAAGCGUGGGGGGCGAACAGG
RNAcentral lists this ribosomal RNA (253 nucleotides) under uncultured bacterium. RNAcentral's name for it is "partial 16S ribosomal RNA". It matches the Rfam family "Bacterial small subunit ribosomal RNA", at positions 524 to 776 of the family's 1533-position model. The record is from RNAcentral.